RNAcentral lists this ribosomal RNA (858 nucleotides) under uncultured bacterium. RNAcentral describes it as "SSU rRNA". It matches the Rfam family "Bacterial small subunit ribosomal RNA", at positions 524 to 1381 of the family's 1533-position model. The record is from RNAcentral.
UACGGAGGGUGCAAGUGUUAAUCGGAAUUACUGGGAGUAAAGCGCACGCAGGCGGUCUGUCAAGUCGGAUGUGAAAUCCCCGGCCUCAACCUGGGAACUGCAUUCGAAACUGGCAGGCUAGAGUCUUGUAGAGGGGGGUAGAAUUCCAGGUGUAGCGGUGAAAUGCGUAGAGAUCUGGAGGAAUACCGGUGGGCGAAGGCGGCCCCCUGGACAAAGACUGACGCUCAGGUGCGAAAGCGUGGGGAGCAAACAGGAUUAGAUACCCUGGUAGUCCACGCCGUAAACGAUGUCGAUUUGGAGGUUGUGCCCUUGAGGCGUGGCUUCCGGAGCUAACGCGUUAAAUCGACCGCCUGGGGAGUACGGCCGCAAGGUUAAAACUCAAAUGAAUUGACGGGGGCCCGCACAAGCGGUGGAGCAUGUGGUUUAAUUCGAUGCAACGCGAAGAACCUUACCUGGUCUUGACAUCCACAGAACUUAGCAGAGAUGCUUUGGUGCCUUCGGGAACUGUGAGACAGGUGCUGCAUGGCUGUCGUCAGCUCGUGUUGUGAAAUGUUGGGUUAAGUCCCGCAACGAGCGCAACCCUUAUCCUUUGUUGCCAGCGGUCCGGCCGGGAACUCAAAGGAGACUGCCAGUGAUAAACUGGAGGAAGGUGGGGAUGACGUCAAGUCAUCAUGGCCCUUACGACCAGGGCUACACACGUGCUACAAUGGCAUAUACAAAGAGAAGCGACCUCGCGAGAGCAAGCGGACCUCAUAAAGUAUGUCGUAGUCCGGAUUGGAGUCUGCAACUCGACUCCAUGAAGUCGGAAUCGCUAGUAAUCGUAGAUCAGAAUGCUACGGUGAAUACGUUCCCGGGCCU